CGUGCUUAACACAUGCAAGUCGAGCGCGAAAGUUUCCUUCGGGAGAUGAGUAGAGCGGCAGACGGGUGAGUAACACGUGGGUAAUCUGCCCUUAGGUGGGGAACAACCAUCCGAAAGGAUGGCUAAUACCGCAUGAGACCACACUUCUACGGAAGAGGGGUUAAAAGCUUCGGUCGCCUAAGGAGGAGCCCGCGUCCGAUUAGCUAGUUGGUAAGGUAAUGGCUUACCAAGGCGACGAUCGGUAGCUGGUCUGAGAGGAUGAUCAGCCACACUGGUACUUAGACACGGACCAGACCCCUACGGGAGGCAGCAGUGGGGAAUAUUGCGCAAUGGGCGAAAGCCUGACGCAGCAACGCCGCGUGAGUGAUGAAGGCCUUCGGGUCGUAAAGCUAUGUCAGAUGGGAAGAAACCGCUUAGCGGCUGACGGUACCAUCAAAGGAAGCACCGGCUAACUCCGUGCCAGCAGCCGCGGUAAUACGGAGGGUGCAAGCGUUGUUCGGAAUCACUGGGCGUAAAGGGCGCGUAGGCGGACUAUCAAGUCUGAUGUGAAAGCCCGGGGCUCAACCCCGGAAGUGCAUUGGAAACUGGUAGUCUUGAGUUCGGGAGAGGAAGGCAGAAUUCCAGGUGUAGGGGUGAAAUCCGUAGAGAUCUGGAGGAAAACCAGUGGCGAAGGCGGCCUUCUGGAACGUAACUGACGCUGAGGCGCGAAAGCGUGGGGAGCAAACAGGAUUAGAGACCCUGGUAGUCCACGCCGUAAACGAUGGAUGCUAGGUGUAGGGGGUAUUAAAAUCUCUUGUGCCGAAGCUAACGCGAUAAGCAUCCCGCCUGGGGAGUACGGUCGCAAGACUAAAACUCAAAGGAAUUGACGGGGGCCCGCACAAGCGGUGGAGCAUGUGGUUUAAUUCGACGCAACGCGCAGAACCUUACCUGGGUUUGACAUCCCGUGACAACCAUAGAGAUAUGGCUUUCCCUUCGGGGACACGGUGACAGGUGCUGCAUGGCUGUCGUCAGCUCGUGUCGUGAGAUGUUGGGUUAAGUCCCGCAACGAGCGCAACCCUCGCUACUAGUUGCCAUCAGGUGAAGCUGGGCACUCUAGUGGGACUGCCGGUGUCAAGCCGGAGGAAGGUGGGGAUGACGUCAAGUCCUCAUGGCCUUUAUGCCCAGGGCUACACACGUGCUACAAUGGCAUCUACAGAGCGCUGCGAACCCGCGAGGGGGAGCCAAUCGCAAAAAAGAUGUCUCAGUUCGGAUCGGAGUCUGCAACUCGACUCCGUGAAGUCGGAAUCGCUAGUAAUCGUGGAUCAGCAUGCCACGGUGAAUACGUUCCCGGGCCUUGUACACACCGCCCGUCACACCAUGGGAGUUGAUUGCUCCAGAAGUCGGUGCGCCAACCGUAAGGAGGCAGCCGCCCAAGGAGUGGUUGGUAACUG
RNAcentral lists this ribosomal RNA (1430 nucleotides) under uncultured delta proteobacterium. Its description in RNAcentral is "bacterial SSU rRNA". It matches the Rfam family "Bacterial small subunit ribosomal RNA". Lineage: Bacteria; Deltaproteobacteria. The record is from RNAcentral.